AACGAACGCUGGCGGCAGGCCUAACACAUGCAAGUCGAGCGAGAUCUUCGGAUCUAGCGGCGGACGGGUGAGUAACGCGUGGGAAUAUGCCCUUCUCUACGGAAUAGCCUCGGGAAACUGGGAGUAAUACCGUAUACGCCCUUAGGGGGAAAGAUUUAUCGGAGAAGGAUUAGCCCGCGUUGGAUUAGGUAGUCGGUGGGGUAAUGGCCUACCAAGCCUACGAUCCAUAGCUGGUUUGAGAGGAUGAUCAGCCACACUGGAACUGAGACACGGCCCAGACUCCUACGGGAGGCAGCAGUGGGGAAUCUUAGACAAUGGGGGCAACCCUGAUCUAGCCAUGCCGCGUGAGUGAUGAAGGCCUUAGGGUUGUAAAGCUCUUUCAGCUGGGAAGAUAAUGACGGUACCAGCAGAAGAAGCCCCGGCUAACUCCGUGCCAGCCGCCGCCGUAA
This 449-nucleotide ribosomal RNA is filed under the name uncultured bacterium. Its description in RNAcentral is "partial 16S ribosomal RNA". It matches the Rfam family "Bacterial small subunit ribosomal RNA", at positions 29 to 523 of the family's 1533-position model. The record is from RNAcentral.